AACUUUUAACAACGGAUCUCUUGGUUCUCGCAUCGAUGAAGAACGUAGCAAAGUGCGAUAACUAGUGUGAAUUGCAUAUUCAGUGAAUCAUCGAGUCUUUGAACGCAACUUGCGCUCAAUGGUAUUCCAUUGAGCACGCCUGUUUCAGUAUCAAAAA
Molecule: ribosomal RNA, 157 nt
Filed under: uncultured Mucor
Lineage: Eukaryota; Fungi; Mucoromycota; Mucoromycetes; Mucorales; Mucoraceae
Description: 5.8S ribosomal RNA
Rfam family: 5.8S ribosomal RNA
About the family: 5.8S ribosomal RNA (5.8S rRNA) is a component of the large subunit of the eukaryotic ribosome.
Source: RNAcentral